This 792-nucleotide long non-coding RNA is filed under the name Sinocyclocheilus anshuiensis. Its description in RNAcentral is "lncRNA (ENSSANG00000012242.1)". Lineage: Eukaryota; Metazoa; Chordata; Actinopteri; Cypriniformes; Cyprinidae. The record is from RNAcentral.
AACAGCCAGCUCACCGCCAACUAUUGUUUCUAUUGUGUCAUAGAUGUUGAGAUGGCCAAGGACAAAAUCAAAGCAGUACCUGUAAAGAAAGAAGCUGAAGUGGCCAAAAAAGAGAUCAAACCAGCACCAUCUAAGAAAGAGCCCGAAGUUACAAAAGAAAAGGCCAAACCAGCUCGUUCAAAGAAAGGUAUCAUAAUGCAUAUUUAAAGUCUCUCAUGCCGAUGCUCCCAUUUUAGAUGCUUUAUUUCGUUUAGAAAUAAAUCACAUCCUGCAAAGAAAGUUACUUUCCUGUCUGAAGUAUUCACUUUUUUUUGUUUUUUUUUUUAGAAAAAGCUGAUGUUAUCAAAGAAAAGGCAAAACCAGCUCCAAAAGAAAAGGGUAUGCUUGUGCUGUUAAAAUAAAAAUCAAGUUUAUCAUACAAAGUUGUGUUUGUAUCAGAGAUAACAUAUUUUGUCUUUUAGUUGCUGAGGUUGUCAAGAAAAAAGCUAAGCCAGUAAAGAAAGGUACUUUGUAUUGUAUGUAUUACUAUUUAUGAAGCUUUGCGUAAGUUAACAGAUUAUAUGAACAGUUUGUUUCAAAUGUUUACAGAACCUGAGGUUAUUAAAGAAAAGGUCCAGCCUGCACCUUCAAAGAAAGGUACAAAGCUUGCAUGUUCAUCUGUAAACAUAUUAUGGCUGAAAUAUGUGUCCUUUAAGGGUUAGAGAUCCCUUUCUCAAUAACUUUGGGGUUGAUGAUCACACUGUAACUUUCCUCACCUUACACAUGCUUAUUCAGUUUUAAAAUCCAUAUGGG